This 72-nucleotide transfer RNA is filed under the name Camelus bactrianus (Bactrian camel). It matches the Rfam family "tRNA". Rfam says of the family: Transfer RNA (tRNA) molecules are approximately 80 nucleotides in length. Their secondary structure includes four short double-helical elements and three loops (D, anti-codon, and T loops). RNAcentral also lists the same sequence under 2 other names. Lineage: Eukaryota; Metazoa; Chordata; Mammalia; Artiodactyla; Camelidae. The record is from Rfam by way of RNAcentral.
AGAGAAAUAGCUCAGUGGUAGAGUGCAUGCCUAGUAUGCUUAAGGUCUUGGGUUCAAUUCCCAGUACCUCCA